GCAGUCGAGCGGAACGAGUUGUCUGAACCUUCGGGGAACGAUAACGGCGUCGAGCGGCGGACGGGUGAGUAAUGCCUGGGAAAUUGCCCUGAUGUGGGGGAUAACCAUUGGAAACGAUGGCUAAUACCGCAUAAUAGCUUCGGCUCAAAGAGGGGGACCUUCGGGCCUCUCGCGUCAGGAUAUGCCCAGGUGGGAUUAGCUAGUUGGUGAGGUAAUGGCUCACCAAGGCGACGAUCCCUAGCUGGUCUGAGAGGAUGAUCAGCCACACUGGAACUGAGACACGGUCCAGACUCCUACGGGAGGCAGCAGUGGGGAAUAUUGCACAAUGGGCGCAAGCCUGAUGCAGCCAUGCCGCGUGUAUGAAGAAGGCCUUCGGGUUGUAAAGUACUUUCAGCAGUGAGGAAGGUGGUAGUGUUAAUAGCACUAUCAUUUGACGUUAGCUGCAGAAGAAGCACCGGCUAACUCCGUGCCAGCAGCCGCGGUAAUACGGAGGGUGCGAGCGUUAAUCGGAAUUACUGGGCGUAAAGCGCAUGCAGGUGGUUUGUUAAGUCAGAUGUGAAAGCCCGGGGCUCAACCUCGGAAUUGCAUUUGAAACUGGCAGACUAGAGUACUGUAGAGGGGGGUAGAAUUUCAGGUGUAGCGGUGAAAUGCGUAGAGAUCUGAAGGAAUACCGGUGGCGAAGGCGGCCCCCUGGACAGAUACUGACACUCAGAUGCGAAAGCGUGGGGAGCAAACAGGAUUAGAUA
This 746-nucleotide ribosomal RNA is filed under the name Vibrionaceae bacterium GUDS1183. RNAcentral's name for it is "bacterial SSU rRNA". It matches the Rfam family "Bacterial small subunit ribosomal RNA", at positions 57 to 784 of the family's 1533-position model. The record is from RNAcentral. Lineage: Bacteria; Pseudomonadati; Pseudomonadota; Gammaproteobacteria; Vibrionales; Vibrionaceae.